RNAcentral lists this ribosomal RNA (373 nucleotides) under uncultured bacterium. Its description in RNAcentral is "bacterial SSU rRNA". It matches the Rfam family "Bacterial small subunit ribosomal RNA", at positions 527 to 898 of the family's 1533-position model. The record is from RNAcentral.
GGGGGGGGCAAGCGUUGUUCGGAAUUACUGGGCGUAAAGGGUGCGUAGGCGGCUUUCUAAGUCGGAUGUGAAAACUCUGGGCUCAACCCAGAGCCUGCAUCCGAAACUGGAAGGCUAGGGUUUUGGAGGGGAAAGCGGAAUUCCAGGUGUAGCGGUGAAAUGCGUAGAUAUCUGGAGGAACACCGGUGGCGAAGGCGGCUUUCUGGACAAAUACCGACGCUGAGGCACGAAAGCUAGGGGAGCAAACAGGAUUAGAUACCCUGGUAGUCCUAGCCCUAAACUAUGGAUACUUGCUGUGGGGGGGAUUGAAGCCCCUUGUGGCGAAGCUAACGCAUUAAGUAUCCCGCCUGGGGAGUACGGUCGCAAGGCUGAA